AUACGUAGGUGGCAAGCGUUGUCCGGAUUUAUUGGGCGUAAAGCGAGCGCAGGCGGUCUUUUAAGUCUGAUGUGAAAGCCCCCGGCUUAACCGGGGAGGGUCAUUGGAAACUGGGAGACUUGAGUGCAGAAGAGGAGAGUGGAAUUCCAUGUGUAGCGGUGAAAUGCGUAGAUAUAUGGAGGAACACCAGUGGCGAAGGCGGCUUCCUGGUCUGUAACUGACACUGAGGCGCGAAAGCGUGGGGAGC
This 247-nucleotide ribosomal RNA is filed under the name uncultured bacterium. RNAcentral describes it as "partial 16S ribosomal RNA". It matches the Rfam family "Bacterial small subunit ribosomal RNA", at positions 523 to 769 of the family's 1533-position model. The record is from RNAcentral.